This 393-nucleotide ribosomal RNA is filed under the name Ninox novaeseelandiae (Morepork). RNAcentral describes it as "partial 12S ribosomal RNA". It matches the Rfam family "Bacterial small subunit ribosomal RNA", at positions 794 to 1380 of the family's 1533-position model. The record is from RNAcentral. Lineage: Eukaryota; Metazoa; Chordata; Aves; Strigiformes; Strigidae.
GCCCAGCCCUAAAUUUUGAUGCUCAUCCUAUCACUAGAGCAUCCGCCAGAGCACUACGAGCACAAACGCUUAAAACUCUAAGGACUUGGCGGUGCCCCAAACCCACCUAGAGGAGCCUGUCCUAUAAUCGACAACCCACGAUAGACCCAGCCGUCUCUUGCAAGACAGCCUACAUACCGCCGUCACCAGCCCGCCUCCUGAGAGAACAACAGCGGGCACAAUAGCCACAACAUCGCUAGCAGGACAGGUCAAGGUAUAGCCUAUGAGACGGAAGAGAUGGGCUACAUUCCCUAAAAUAGGGAACUAACGAAAGGGGACAUGAAACACCCCCCGGAAGGCGGAUUUAGUAGUAAAGCGGGAUCACGCAAGCCCCCUUUAAAAAGGCCCUGGGGU